Molecule: ribosomal RNA, 776 nt
Filed under: uncultured eukaryote
Lineage: Eukaryota
Description: eukaryotic LSU rRNA
Rfam family: 5.8S ribosomal RNA (bases 400-554)
Source: RNAcentral
AAGUCGUAACAAGGUUUCCGUAGGUGAACCUGCGGAAGGAUCAUUACUGGUUUGAGAGAAUGGAGUAAUCCAUUUCGAUCAUAUCCAAAAAAUUCUCGGUUUUCUGAGGAGGCCGGGGGAGCUCUGCUCCCUCUCUCCUCAUUGCCGUGCGGCCACUCUUGCCUGAGCGGUCGGCGACACCGCGAGUGGCGGUCUGGCCUGUCAAGGGCCAGGUCGUUGCCGGUGGGCUGGUGCAGAGGUUCAGUACCCCAAAGACCGAUCAGAGGGGAUAUCUAACUGAUCAAAGAGCUUUCGCCUCUGCAACUGGCUUUUGCUGGGCUCUUCCCCUUGUUGGGAUGUCUCAGAUGUGUGAAACUUUUACAGUGUUGUACUCGAGACAACGAAUGUUGUUGAAAAUAUAACACUGCACAGUGGAUCACUUGGCUCGAGGGUCGAUGAAGAACGCAGCUAACUGCGCGUCGGAAUGUGAACUGCAGGACACACGAACAUCGACAUUUUGAACGCACAUUGCGGACAGAGGAUCACUUCCUCUGUCCAUGCCUGGCUCAGGGUCGGUUAAACAUCCAUCCAGCUUUUGCUGGCAUUGGGCUCUCUCGGCGUGAAAACCGAGUGGCUUCAAGUUUGUGCUGUGACGGCGACUGCCUGCACUGAUCCUUGGUUCUCGCGAAUUGAGUCUUUACUGGCGACUGCAGUCUUUUUGCAGCCGGAUGUGGGGGAAUCUCUCUCCCCAUAUCCACCCCACUUUAACUCUCGACCUGAGAUUAGGCAAGGUUACC